UAUACGACCGUACCGCAAACCGACACUGGUGCGCGAGAUGAGUAUUCUAAGGCGCUUGAGAGAACUCAGGAGAAGGAACUCGGCAAAUUGACACCGUAACUUCGGAAGAAGGUGUGCCCUAUUAGUGUGUAGUGAACAACGAAGCAUGAAUGGGUUGCAAAAAAUCGGUGGCUGCGACUGUUUAUUAAAAACACAGCACUCUGCAAACACGAAAGUGGACGUAUAGGGUGUGACGCCUGCCCGGUGCUGGAAGAUUAAAUGAUGGGGUGCAAGCUCUUGAUUGAAGUCCCAGUAAACGGCGGCCGUAACAAUAACGGUCCUAAGGUAGCGAAAUUCCUUGUCGGGUAAGUUCCGACCUGCACGAAUGGCGUAACGAUGGCCACACUGUCUCCUCCUGAGACUCAGCGAAGUUGAAAUGUUUGUGAUGAUGCAAUCUCCCCGCGGAAAGACGGAAAGACCCCAUGAACCUUUACUGUAGCUUUGUAUUGGACUUUGAACAGAUCUGUGUAGGAUAGGUGGGAGGCUUUGAAGCAGGGUCGCUAGAUCUUGUGGAGCCAACGUUGAAAUACCACCCUGGUGUGUUUGAGGUUCUAACCUAGGUCCAUUAUCUGGAUCGGGGACAGUGCAUGGUAGGCAGUUUGACUGGGGCGGUCUCCUCCCAAAGCGUAACGGAGGAGUUCGAAGGUACGCUAGUUACGGUCGGACAUCGUGACGAUAGUGCAAUGGCAUAAGCGUGCUUAACUGCGAGACUGACAAGUCGAGCAGAUGCGAAAGCAGGACAUAGUGAUCCGGUGGUUCUGUAUGGAAGGGCCAUCGCUCAACGGAUAAAAGGUACUCUGGGGAUAACAGGCUGAUACCGCCCAAGAGUUCAUAUCGACGGCGGUGUUUGGCACCUCGAUGUCGGCUCAUCUCAUCCUGGGGCUGUAGCCGGUCCCAAGGGUAUGGCUGUUCGCCAUUUAAAGAGGUACGUGAGCUGGGUUUAAAACGUCGUGAGACAGUUUGGUCCCUAUCUUCCGUGGGCGCUGCAGAUUUGAGGAAGCCUGCUCCUAGUACGAGAGGACCGGAGUGGACACACCUCUGGUGUAUCGGUUGUCACGCCAGUGGCAUUGCCGAGUAGCUAAGUGUGGAAGAGAUAACCGCUGAAAGCAUCUAAGCGGGAAACUCGUUUCAAGAUGAGAUCUGCCGGGGCCUUGAGCCCCCUAAAGAGUCGUUCAAGACCAGGACGUUGAUAGGUCAGGUGUGGAAGCCA
Molecule: ribosomal RNA, 1249 nt
Filed under: metagenome
Description: bacterial LSU rRNA
Rfam family: Bacterial large subunit ribosomal RNA
Source: RNAcentral